This 429-nucleotide ribosomal RNA is filed under the name uncultured archaeon. Its description in RNAcentral is "bacterial SSU rRNA". It matches the Rfam family "Archaeal small subunit ribosomal RNA", at positions 474 to 903 of the family's 1478-position model. The record is from RNAcentral.
UACCUGCAGCUCGAGUGGUAACCGCUAUUAUUGGGCCUAAAGCGUCCGUAGCCGGUUUGGUAAAUAUCUGGGUAAAUCGUGAGGCUUAACUUCACGAAUUUCGGAUAGACUGCCAGACUUGGGAUCGGGGGAGGUCAGAGGUACUCCAGGGGUAGCGGUGAAAUGUUGUAAUCCUUGGGGGACCACCGGUAGCGAAGGCGUCUGACUAGAACGAGUCCGACGGUGAGGGACGAAGCCCUGGGGCGCAAACCGGAUUAGAUACCCGGGUAGUCCAGGGUGUAAACAAUGUGGGCUUUGUAUUGGAGGUCCCACGUGGGCGUCCAGUGCAGAAGAGAAGUUGUUAAGCCCACCGCCUGGGAAGUACGGUCGCAAGGCUGAAACUUAAAGGAAUUGGCGGGGGAGCACCACAAGGCGUGAAGCUUGCGGUUC